UGUCAAAUUCUCGACCCCCAAUGGCGUGAAAACGAUCUGGGACAGUCAGAAAAAUUCUCGGAUGUGUUUCAUGGCAGCACACAAACUCCGAAACCCUGUCACUGAAGCGAAGGCUGAAACCGAUCACAAGAAAUCAAAACUUGGCCGGAGUGAAGAGAAGGCUAUAUCUAAACAGUUAUAGCAAUUACAGAUCGAGGAGGCGCGCGAGGAU
RNAcentral lists this long non-coding RNA (211 nucleotides) under Arabidopsis lyrata. Its description in RNAcentral is "long non-coding RNA (ALYR_LNC002465)". Lineage: Eukaryota; Viridiplantae; Streptophyta; Magnoliopsida; Brassicales; Brassicaceae. The record is from RNAcentral.